UCGCAGAGAUGUUUUGGCUAAACAGCAGACAUACACAAACUAACAGGGAUAAAAGCACUCAUAUGAAAGGUUUAACGAAACAUCACAUAUUUCUAUUUAAGAUCUAUAUUCCAUGGCUUACUUUUGAAUUACAACACAAGCAUACAACAUCAAGCACAAUAAAACAUUCAUUCCCUAACAUUUGACCUAAACCACACAUCAAAGACUUUCACUCAAGAUCACAACAUAAACUUAUAGGUUUUGACUUAGGGUUUCAAACGAAACUGAUUUUACAUUUUUAUGAACUUCCUAUGAAAAUCUAUGAAAUGUAGAAGUUCAUCGAUUUGAAAUAAAGAAAGUUCUGGAAAUUUUACAGAAAACAUCCUAGAACUAUCUAAAACGUAGCAAUCAAGUCCCUGGUCCGGGAAAACAGAUAACAGAAAGUUAACGACGAUAUCUCGACAAAGGAAUCGCCGGCAUUAGAAAGAUUUAGUGGAUUAGGGCAAACCUUGGGGUAGACUUAGUCGUGGAGA
RNAcentral lists this long non-coding RNA (512 nucleotides) under Panicum hallii. Its description in RNAcentral is "long non-coding RNA (PHAL_LNC000906)". Lineage: Eukaryota; Viridiplantae; Streptophyta; Magnoliopsida; Poales; Poaceae. The record is from RNAcentral.